CCUUCCUUCUGCACUACACAUCAGUCCGGCGGCUGCGACGGAGUUCAGCAGCGGAGGCUCUCCGAAUCGGCACAUCAACCAUUGAGCUCUCGCAAUAAACCCUAGCUAGCUCGGUGGAUGGAUCUAGGUUGAUGAUGAUGGCGCAGCCCACGCGGUGGAUGCUGGCUCCUCUGCUUCGACUGGAUCAAAGAAAGGGGCACUUAAUCGGUUAGGAAUUUGGUUAUCGAAGGAACAAGUAACAUUGGGCAUUCAAUCGAUACGCACAUCCUCCGAGCUUCCACUCUCUACAUUCAGAUGGCACAAAAUCAUUCCUCACCGCUGGACAACGAGGAUCUCCUCCAGGAAAUCCUCCUCCGCCUCCCUCCGAAGCCGUCCU
Long non-coding RNA from Lolium rigidum, 376 nucleotides. RefSeq lists it as uncharacterized. NCBI's taxonomy places the organism in Eukaryota, Viridiplantae, Streptophyta, Magnoliopsida, Poales, Poaceae. The record is from RefSeq and is a predicted model, not a curated record. The transcript is spliced from 3 exons.